UACGUAGGUGGCAAGCGUUAUCCGGAAUUAUUGGGCGUAAAGAGCGCGCAGGUGGUUAAUUAAGUCUGAUGUGAAAGCCCACGGCUUAACCGUGGAGGGUCAUUGGAAACUGGUUGACUUGAGUGCAGAAGAGGGAAGUGGAAUUCCAUGUGUAGCGGUGAAAUGCGUAGAGAUAUGGAGGAACACCAGUGGCGAAGGCGGCUUCCUGGUCUGCAACUAACACUGAGGCGCGAAAGCGUGGGGAGCAAACAGG
RNAcentral lists this ribosomal RNA (253 nucleotides) under uncultured bacterium. RNAcentral describes it as "partial 16S ribosomal RNA". It matches the Rfam family "Bacterial small subunit ribosomal RNA", at positions 524 to 776 of the family's 1533-position model. The record is from RNAcentral.